CCUACGGGUGACAGCAGUGAGGAAUAUUGGUCAAUGGGCGGGAGCCUGAACCAGCCAAGUCGCGUGAGGGAAGAAGGUACUGAGGAUUGUAAACUUCUUUUGCAAGGGGACAAAGGCGGCCACGGGUGGCCGUAAGAGGGUACCUGGAGACAAAGCAUCGGCUAACUCCGUGCCAGCAGCCGCGGUAAUACGGAGGAUGCGAGCGUUAUCCGGAUUUAUUGGGUUUAAAGGGGGCGUAGGCUGUGUGGUAAGUCAGCGGUGAAAGGCCUGCGCUCAACGGGGUGAAGUGCCAUUGAUACUGCCUUGCUUGAAUGCGGAUGACGUGGGAGGAAUGUGUGGUGUAGCGGUGAAAUGCAUAGAUAUCACACAGAACACCGAUUGCGAAGGCAUCUCACGAAUCCGCGAUUGACGCUGAUGCACGAAAGCGUGGGUAUCAAACAGGAUUAGAUACCCUAGUAGUC
Molecule: ribosomal RNA, 461 nt
Filed under: uncultured bacterium
Lineage: Bacteria
Description: partial 16S ribosomal RNA
Rfam family: Bacterial small subunit ribosomal RNA
Source: RNAcentral